GGGUGCGUGGCGGCAUGGGGCCGAGCGCAGGUUAAAGUUGACGCAUUGGUCGGGCCGCCAAUG
RNAcentral lists this non-coding RNA (63 nucleotides) under Pseudomonas monteilii. Its description in RNAcentral is "Li+-I sequence". It matches the Rfam family "nhaA-I RNA". Rfam says of the family: Acidobacteria, Alphaproteobacteria, Betaproteobacteria and Gammaproteobacteria, Verrucomicrobia, cand. division NC10. Downstream gene Lineage: Bacteria; Pseudomonadati; Pseudomonadota; Gammaproteobacteria; Pseudomonadales; Pseudomonadaceae. The record is from RNAcentral.